GAGGUCAGUCAAAAUAUGAAGUAUAGAGAAAGUGCAUAAAACAUUUUCUUGAAAGAGCUCAACAAAAGAAAUUCAUUGGUGCCAAAAUUUUUGAAAUCGGUCAAGCGGUUCAAAAGUUAUGACCAUUUAGAAAUCAAAAAUUUGGCCUUUUUCCUUGCGAAGGCAAAAAUACCAUAUUUUGGGCUAUUUGUGAGGCCAAUUAUAACCAAAGUAUUAGAAACUACAAGCAAUAUAUCUACAUAAUUGCAAUAAGGCCCUUUUAAGCUUUGAUUUAAGCCAC
RNAcentral lists this long non-coding RNA (280 nucleotides) under Mytilus galloprovincialis (Mediterranean mussel). The record is from RNAcentral. Lineage: Eukaryota; Metazoa; Mollusca; Bivalvia; Mytilida; Mytilidae.